GACGAACGCUGGCGGCGCGCCUAAUACAUGCAAGUAGAACGCUGAAGAGAGGAGCUUGCUCUUCUUGGAUGAGUUGCGAACGGGUGAGUAACGCGUAGGUAACCUGCCUUGUAGCGGGGGAUAACUAUUGGAAACGAUAGCUAAUACCGCAUAACAAUGGAUGACACAUGUCAUUUAUUUGAAAGGGGCAAUUGCUCCACUACAAGAUGGACCUGCGUUGUAUUAGCUAGUAGGUGAGGUAAUGGCUCACCUAGGCGACGAUACAUAGCCGACCUGAGAGGGUGAUCGGCCACACUGGGACUGAGACACGGCCCAGACUCCUACGGGAGGCAGCAGUAGGGAAUCUUCGGCAAUGGGGGCAACCCUGACCGAGCAACGCCGCGUGAGUGAAGAAGGUUGUCGGAUCGUAAAGCUCUGUUGUAAGUCAAGAACGGGUGUGAGAGUGGAAAGUUCACACUGUGACGGUAGCUUACCAGAAAGGGACGGCUAACUACGUG
Molecule: ribosomal RNA, 497 nt
Filed under: uncultured bacterium
Lineage: Bacteria
Description: partial 16S ribosomal RNA
Rfam family: Bacterial small subunit ribosomal RNA
Source: RNAcentral